This 76-nucleotide transfer RNA is filed under the name Sphingobium rhizovicinum. RNAcentral describes it as "tRNA-Lys". It matches the Rfam family "tRNA". From Rfam's summary of the family: Transfer RNA (tRNA) molecules are approximately 80 nucleotides in length. RNAcentral also lists the same sequence under 6 other names. Lineage: Bacteria; Pseudomonadati; Pseudomonadota; Alphaproteobacteria; Sphingomonadales; Sphingobiaceae. The record is from RNAcentral.
GGGUCCAUAGCUCAGUCGGUAGAGCAACUGACUUUUAAUCAGUAGGUCACUGGUUCGAACCCAGUUGGACUCACCA